This 76-nucleotide transfer RNA is filed under the name Anditalea andensis. RNAcentral describes it as "tRNA-Thr". It matches the Rfam family "tRNA". From Rfam's summary of the family: Transfer RNA (tRNA) molecules are approximately 80 nucleotides in length. RNAcentral also lists the same sequence under 1 other name. The record is from RNAcentral. Lineage: Bacteria; Pseudomonadati; Bacteroidota; Cytophagia; Cytophagales; Cytophagaceae.
GCCUCCUUAGCUCAGCUGGUAGAGCAACUGACUUGUAAUCAGUAGGUCGUUGGUUCGAUCCCGACAGGAGGCUCCA